Molecule: long non-coding RNA, 4014 nt
Filed under: Homo sapiens (human)
Lineage: Eukaryota; Metazoa; Chordata; Mammalia; Primates; Hominidae
Description: non-protein coding POC1B-AS1:34
Source: RNAcentral
AAUACUUCCUAGGUGAUUCUGACGCAGGCGCUCCACGGAAACCCUCCGAGAAUUCUGGGGGCCGUGGGGCCGCCCAGCUCAGUCCGGAGCUCCGGAACUCGGGGAAGAGCGUCCGGGAGCCGGGUCUGGGUUCCGCACUCCGUCCGCCCCGAUGGCAGAGAGUGAGAUACGGACGCCCCGGGACGAGGGGCUCAGGACCCGGCUACGGACACCUGCCUCCAUCUCCCUCCAGAUAACACAAGUGUGAAGAGAGGGGAGAGCAGCAAAGGCUGAGCUGCGUGUGCCUGGUCCCUUCCAGACUUUCCAGAUAACUUUGCCCCACGGAGGACAAGGAAAGCCAAAAGAGAGAAGCCAGGAUUGUUAGUCUUGGAAAAUGCCUCCAUAUAGAAACAUGAGCCGGAGAAUAAAUCACUUGCCUCUCUAACCAGUUGGAUUUGGUCCGUGAGUUCCUAGUUUUGUUCACCUGACUUAGUCCCUGACUUUUAAAGUCAAGUGCAUCAACAUGCUGCCAGUACUUUGAUGAACAUCUAUACAGGAUCCAUCUCUACAGCAGUGAAUUCCACCUGGGGUAAAGUAUGCAUGUAGGUUAGGAUGCUACAGUGGGACUCUGUCUGCUUUUUCUGUCUGUUUCUGCUAAGGCCUCCACACAUUAGAUGGUCAGUACUCUUUGUUCUAUGGGAAGGGCUAGAAUACCUAAACAGGACUUUCACGGAGGGAGCAACAAACCAGUUUUGUGGCUCUCAGCAAACAUCCAUCUCAAAGGUGAGUUUGGAAAUAAUGGAGAGUAUGUCAGUGUGUUUGUGUCUCAGGCCUACUUCCCACGCCUAUGGGGGAAGGGUGGGACUUAUCUCUCUCUUCCCUCAAGCCUGCUAAGAGGAGAUUAGACUAUAUUUGAGAUAAAUACCUCCAGCACAGUGACAGCCAUGCAGCUCAUGCCUGUGAAAUCAAAAGGCAAGAGGAUGCGGCUGGCUGGCUGCUCUGAGGGCAGAGAGAAAAGACCAGACAGCUCUUGGAACAGACUGUUCUUCCAGUGACGAUGGGGACAAAGAUGCAUGAGUGUAUCUCCAGGACUGGAUGUGAGCUGCAUGGGAGAAAAAGAGUGCAGGCCUGCAGCCCGGGAAAACCCAAAAGGAUGCCAUAAACCCAACAGGAAGAUGGGUUGUCAGGGCCCCAGGAGCUGAGAAAGGAAUAAAAAUGACAGAGAGAGAAAAGUACAUUGUCCACAUCAUAAAUAACACAGCUGAAUGUGCCCAAUGAGGUCCUCAGAGAACCCACAGAAGUGCCCAUGGGAACAGUUCUCUCUGGGACUCAAACCCAGGGAGAGGUGCUUUUAAACAUGCAAAGAGAGGGAACCAUCAUCAUAUUACAUUGCAGUGUCCACAUGAAUAAGACCCUAACUUACCUCAUAUUUCUCCUCCUUCCUCUGCUUUAAUCCAGGAGGAGCCAGAGACCUCUCAGUAAGUGAAGAAGAGGGGAAAUAGGUAAAAAGCCACUAUUCCCCAUGUUAGAUGAGGAAAUAGGAACAUUCUCCUCCUCUACCCAACACCCACUGUAGCUUUUAGUGGCUGGAGUCAGGAGAGAAAAGUUUUCAUGUUAAAUGAAUUUCAGAGGUUUGACUAUGACAUAGAAAUGGAUAUUUUAAUUACUGAAAUAAAACUGUUUUGUAAUUAGAGGUGACUGGAAGACAUUUUAUCCUCAGCAGAAGAAUAGAUAAGGAUAGGACCUUCCCUCCCCCUUGGACCCCACCAAGGUUUUAUCCAGAGGCAGAGGAAGAAGUAACCCUUUAUGUGAGUUUGAAUGGGCAGAAGAAGAAAAGGAUGAAGUUGUCUUCUAAUUGCACUCUAUGAAUGUUGCUUUUUUGUUAACAUAAAUGUCACAUAUAUUUUUAGCUGGUGUAACAAAAAAAAAAACAUCUCAAGCCGGCUUGCAUAAUAACAGCUUUGGGCACAGUCUGAUCAAGGCCCCGGUUCUGUUUGCUAGUGAUCCUCCUGAUUCUGCCCUCUCUCCAUGCUAGUUUCUUCCUCAGAUUGACAUUCCUCUUGGUCACCAGAUGCCUACAAUCAGCGGGUGCAACUCUCUGCUCCCUGCUCACUUCUGAAGGGGAGAGCAUGGAUACCAACCACAGAACAAAGCCCUGCAGUCUCCCGCUGAGUAGAACACCCACGAAGAAGUGUUGGCCAUUUCCCUAUUGCCAGGGAAAUAUCAUGUAUUGGUUGGAUUAGGCCUGUAUUAAUCCAGUUAAUGGAACAUAGUUAAACUAUCCCAGACCCUCCAUAGACACUAGAGAAAAGGUGAAUCCAACCCAAAUGUAAGACUGCUACUCAAUAGGACAGAAAAGGCAUGGAUGUCAGUGAAAUGGGAAAAAAAAUGUGUGCCAAAGGAGAUCAGGAAGGACUGAAUAGAAGACAUGGCCUUUGAAUUGAAGCCUUUAAUGAGGAAAGGGGAUUGACAUUGUAUGAGGGCCAGGGUGGAGAGCGGGUUGUGAAGAGGAUAGGGAAAAUGCAAGGACACUGCGGAUAUAAGAAUUAAUGGGAGAAUCAUGGGCCACAAAGCAGCAGGAUUAUAUUACAGAGAUUGUAAGUAGUGUUUAUUGAAGCACAGGGUACUGGGGAGGUGGAGGAAAGAUGAAACUGUUAAGGAAUUUAGACACAGCAUGUAGUGGUUGGCAGGAAACAGAUGACACUCUCAAACAGGGUAGUUGAGGAGAGCUAAUAAAGGGACCAUUUACCAAGGUGUAGUUAGGAUUAAGAGAAAGCAAACUGGGAUGGUGCUGUGCUAUGGGCUAGCAACAGCAGGAAGUCAUUUCUGUCCCUAGGUCUGAAGAGGGAAGCAGGGGAGCCAACACCAAGGAACCAGAGAUCUUAGAGUCUGAAAGUCUGCAUGAUAGAAGCCAUGGCCUUUAGUAGAGGGAUCUUGCCUACUCUUAGCAGCCUGGCUUGGAGGGGCCUGGGGAAAUAAUACCCCAACCUCUCUCCUCUUCUUCAAUAUUGAUGACUUCCAUUGGUUAAUAUCAAACUGGAAGUUGGAGAGAAAGGGAGUCUAUCUAUACAAGUCAGCACCCUGUAGCCCAGAAGAGAGUAAAAAGGGGGUAAAAAGCAAUUUCCGAGGGACAAACAGAAAACACCCAGCACAGAAGGAGGAACAAACAUUUGGAGGAACAAACAGAAAAUAUCAGAAAACAUUUUAAUCCUGGGUCCUGGGACGUCAUGGAAGGUUUUGAAGUUAGGAGCACCGCCAUCCUCUAGGGGGAGCUCAAGCAUUUCUCUCCACUCAUCCCAAAGGCGGUGCAUCAAAAGAUCAGGGUGAAACUGACUUCAAGGAAAGAGCCCUCGGCUAGAGGAAGAAGCCUGGAGAAGUAAAGGGAUUGCUCCUGGAAUUGGAAAUCUACCCUUUGCACUUCUAUUUACUGCAUUUGGAUUGAUUUGCAAGAAUAACCAUUAAAAUAAUCAAAGCUAAAAGUACAACGGAGUAAGUGUACUCACACCACCCUGUUCCUCCCACUGAAUGCGGCUAAAAAACCUGGGCAGAAUAAGUGGAGCAUCUGAGGACUCUGAAAAGUAAAUAAUAGCAGGCAGAUUGGAGAUGAAGACCAAAAUGGAGUUAAACAAGACCCCACAUCUUAUAACAUGUCAUUCAAAACGUCUAGAAUACAAUCCACAAGUGUGCAGCAUGCAAAGAACCAGGAAGAUCAUGACUCACUUAGGAACUAGCUGACAAAGACUUGCUAGCAGAGCUAUUGUAAAAAUGCUCCACCAAGUAAGGAAAUAAAAUCUUAUAUAGGUGGAAUAACAGAAUGUCUCAGCAAAGAAGUAGAAGAUUUAAAGAAGAACUGUCUGAAAUGUUAGAACUGAAAAAUAUAACUUAAAGAAACUCACUGGAUAGGCUCAAUAGCAGAAAAAAAUUAACAAAGAAAAAAGUGUACUUGGAGAUAGAUCAAUAGAAAGUAUUGAAUUUGCAUAACAGAGAGAGGCUGAGUGCGGUGGCUCAUGCCUGUAAUCCCAGCACUUUUAGAGG